AAUUGCCGCGGUAUUAUGACCGUGCAAAGGUAGCAUAAUAAUUAGUUUCUUUAUUGGAAGCUGGAAUGAAUGAUUGGACGAGAAAAUUACUGUCUCUUUUAAAUUUUUUUUUGAAUUUAAUUUUUGAGUAAAAAAGCUCAAAUUUUUUUAAAAGACGAGAAGACCCUAUAGAGUUUUAUAAUAUAUUUUUUUAAUUUUUUUGGAAUUUUAAAAAUUUAAAUUUAAUAUUUUAUUUGGUUGGGGUGACUUAAAGAUUUAAAAAACUCUUUAAAUUUUAUAAUCAUUAAUUUAUGAAAAUAUAAUCUGAUUUUUUCAAUUUUAAGAUAAAUUACCUUAGGGAUAACAGCGUAAUUUUCUUUUAGAGUUCUUAUUAAAAAGAAAGUUUGCGACCUCGAUGUUGGAUUAAAAUUAAUUAUUGGUGCAGAAGCUAAAUAAUUAAGUCUGUUCGACUUUUAAAAUUUUACAUGAUCUGAGU
Molecule: ribosomal RNA, 475 nt
Filed under: Elaterinae sp. UPOL RK0400
Lineage: Eukaryota; Metazoa; Arthropoda; Insecta; Coleoptera; Elateridae
Description: partial 16S ribosomal RNA
Rfam family: Archaeal large subunit ribosomal RNA
Source: RNAcentral